RNAcentral lists this ribosomal RNA (860 nucleotides) under uncultured bacterium. Its description in RNAcentral is "bacterial SSU rRNA". It matches the Rfam family "Bacterial small subunit ribosomal RNA", at positions 36 to 916 of the family's 1533-position model. The record is from RNAcentral.
CAUUGCGGGAAGCUUACACAUGCAAGUCGUACGGGUGGAACUUGUUCCAUCUAGUGGCGGACGGGUGCGUAACACGUAAGAACCUACCUUUUGGAGGGGGAUAACAUUGGGAAACUGGUGCUAAUACCUCGUAAUACUGAGGAGUUAAAAGCGGGUAUCCUGCAAGGGAGCUACGCGCCAAGAGAGGGGCUUGCGGCUGAUUAGCUAGUUGGUGGGGGUAAUGGCCUCCCAAGGCCACGAUCAGUAGCUGGUCUGAGAGGACGACCAGCCACACUGGGACUGAGACACGGCCCAGACUCUUACGGGAGGCAGCAGUGAGGAAUUUUCCACAAUGGGCGAAAGCCUGACGGAGCAAUACCGCGUGAGGGACGAAGGUCUGUGGAUUGUAAACCUCUUUUGUUAGGGAAGAUAAUGACGGUACCUAACGAAUAAGCAUCGGCUAACUCCGUGCCAGCAGCCGCGGUAAGACGGAGGAUGCAAGCGUUAUCCGGAAUUAUUGGGCGUAAAGCGUACGUAGGCUGCUAAUUAAGUCUGUUGUCAAAGCGCGAGGCUCAACCUUGUAAAGGCAAUGGAAACUGAAUAGCUAGAGAGAGAUAGGGGCAGGAGGAAUUCCAGGUGUAGCGGUGAAAUGCGUAGAUAUCAGGAAGAACACCAGUGGCGAAAGCGUCCUGCUGGAUCUCAACUGACGCUGAAGUACGAAAGCUAGGGGAGCGAAUGGGAUUAGAUACCCCAGUAGUCCUAGCCGUAAACGAUGGGUACUAGGUGUUGGUCGUAUCGACCCGAUCAGUGCCGUAGCUAACGCGUUAAGUACCCCGCCUGGGGAGUACGGUCGCAAGAUUGAAACUCAAAGGAAUUGACGG